RNAcentral lists this ribosomal RNA (303 nucleotides) under uncultured bacterium. RNAcentral describes it as "partial 16S ribosomal RNA". It matches the Rfam family "Bacterial small subunit ribosomal RNA", at positions 507 to 807 of the family's 1533-position model. The record is from RNAcentral.
AGCAGCCGCCGCGGUAAUACAGAGGGUGCGAGCGUUAAUCGGAUUUACUGGGCGUAAAGCGUGCGUAGGCGGCUUCUUAAGUCGGAUGUGAAAUCCCUGAGCUUAACUUAGGAAUUGCAUUCGAUACUGGGAAGCUAGAGUAUGGGAGAGGAUGGUAGAAUUCCAGGUGUAGCGGUGAAAUGCGUAGAGAUCUGGAGGAAUACCGAUGGCGAAGGCAGCCCCCUGGGAUAACACUGACGCUCAUGCACGAAAGCGUGGGGAGCAAACAGGAUUAGAUACCCCUGUAGUCCCUGUCUCUUAUAC